UGGUUUAGGAAAGGAGCUAGUUGGAGGAACCAGGCAGGGGAAGAUGCAAAUUUCAUUGGAACAAGUAUAAAUGUCUGUCGAGCUACAGCCGGGGACGCUUGCCACGAAAAAGCUUUUUUGCGACAUAAUUCGAGUCUGGUCCGCCCCAACUGAGCUGGACAGAAUGCCAUAGGAAACAUUUAACGACUGAGAAGUACAAUCUGAUCAAAGUGGCGGCUUUCAGCGAGAGACCGAAGCAAGAACAAAUGAUGUUGAAGAGACAGGCGUACAUAAAAGAAAAGGGAACUAGAAUCAAGAAACAGCAAAAGGAAAUUAUUGCGAUGCAAUGCAAUUUUUCAAUAUGCAUGUCAAAGUUAUGCGGAACAUGAUGAAAUGAUAGGAAAGCAGA
RNAcentral lists this small RNA (388 nucleotides) under Histoplasma capsulatum. RNAcentral's name for it is "hypothetical RNA". RNAcentral also lists the same sequence under 1 other name. The record is from RNAcentral. Lineage: Eukaryota; Fungi; Ascomycota; Eurotiomycetes; Onygenales; Ajellomycetaceae.